CAACCUCAACUCAUAUGGGACUACCCCCUGAAUUUAAGCAUAUUAAUUAGGGGAGGAAAAGAAACUAACAAGGAUUUUCUUAGUAGCGGCGAGCGAAAAGAAAAUAGUUCAGCACUAAGUCACUUUGUCUUUAUGGCAAAUGUGAGAUGCAGUGUAUGGAGCAUCAAUAUUCUAGUAUGAGAAAUUAAUGAUUUAAGUCCUUCUUAAAUGAGGCCAUUUACCCAUAGAGGGUGCCAGGCCCGUAUAACGUUAAUGAUUACUAGAUGGUGUUUCCAAAGAGUCGUGUUGCUUGAUAGUGCAGCACUAAGUGGGUGGUAAACUCCAUCUAAAACUAAAUAUAACCAUGAGACCGAUAGUAAACAAGUACCGUGAGGGAAAGUUGAAAAGAACUCUGAAUAGAGAGUUAAAUAGUACGUGAAACUGCUUAGAGGUUAAGCCCGAUGAACCUGAAUAUCCAUUAUGGAAAAUUCAUCAUUAGAGUUUUAAUAUUUUAAUAAUAUUAUAAUAAUAGUGUGCAUUUUUUCCAUAUAAGGACAUUGUAAUCUAUUAACAUAAACCAAAUUUAUCAUAAAAUAUGACUUAUAGUUUAUUUAAAUUAUUUUGCUUGCAUUUUAACAUAGAAUAAAUGUCAUUAAUUUGAUAAAGUGUUGAUAGAUUUAUAUGAAUACAGUGCGUUAAUUUUUCGGAAUUAUAUAAUAGCAUGAUUAUCAUUGAUUUUCUGUGUUUAUUAUAUGCACUUGUAUGAUUAACAAUGCGAAAGAUUCAUGAUACCUUCGGGACCCGUCUUGAAACACGGACCAUGAGUCUAACAUAUGUGCAAGUUAUUGGGAUAUAACCUAAU
Molecule: non-coding RNA, 841 nt
Filed under: Drosophila willistoni
Lineage: Eukaryota; Metazoa; Arthropoda; Insecta; Diptera; Drosophilidae
Description: Eukaryotic large subunit ribosomal RNA
Rfam family: Eukaryotic large subunit ribosomal RNA
Source: Rfam by way of RNAcentral